GGGUCAGUAGGUUGGUCGUGCCACCGGUACGUACUGGUCUCACUGAUUCCUCCUUCCUGAAGAACCGUAAUGCCAUUAAUUUGGUGUUGCGGGGAAACAGGACUGUUACUUUGAAAAAGUUAGAGUGUUUAAAGCAAGCUAACGCUUGAAUACAUUAGCAUGGAAUAAUGAAAUAGGACGAUCGAUCCUAUUUUGUUGGUCUCUAGGAUUGACGUA
This 216-nucleotide ribosomal RNA is filed under the name Glomeromycotina sp. RNAcentral's name for it is "partial small subunit ribosomal RNA". The stretch from base 40 to 216 matches the Rfam family "Eukaryotic small subunit ribosomal RNA", at positions 686 to 864 of the family's 1831-position model. Lineage: Eukaryota; Fungi; Glomeromycota. The record is from RNAcentral.